This 357-nucleotide ribosomal RNA is filed under the name uncultured Bradyrhizobiaceae bacterium. RNAcentral describes it as "bacterial SSU rRNA". It matches the Rfam family "Bacterial small subunit ribosomal RNA", at positions 29 to 412 of the family's 1533-position model. The record is from RNAcentral. Lineage: Bacteria; Pseudomonadati; Pseudomonadota; Alphaproteobacteria; Hyphomicrobiales; Nitrobacteraceae.
AGCGAACGCUGGCGGCAGGCUUAACACAUGCAAGUCGAGCGGGCAUAGCAAUAUGUCAGCGGCAGACGGGUGAGUAACGCGUGGGAACGUACCUUUUGGUUCGGAACAACACAGGGAAACUUGUGCUAAUACCGGAUAAGCCCUUACGGGGAAAGAUUUAUCGCCGAAAGAUCGGCCCGCGUCUGAUUAGCUAGUUGGUGAGGUAAUGGCUCACCAAGGCGACGAUCAGUAGCUGGUCUGAGAGGAUGAUCAGCCACAUUGGGACUGAGACACGGCCCAAACUCCUACGGGAGGCAGCAGUGGGGAAUAUUGGACAAUGGGUGCAAGCCUGAUCAGCUUUGCCGCGUGAGGGCCGAA